CGUAUUGCACAGAAGGCCAAAACUGAUUGGUACUAGUUAUAAAACUUUAAGAAUUCCGGAGCUCCGACAGUUCUAGAAUAGUUUCGUUUACUCAGAUUGGAAUUUUAAGUUUCCCAGAUUGUGGACCUAUCAUCACAAGUCAAGCCGUUGAGACGAUCGUGGGACGUUUCUGGAGCAUCCGUGUUUGCAGCUGUUUAUUCAUCGCAAUAGACGAGAUAUUUUUUGGGCUGCUCAUCCAUUCGUGCUGUGCCUAGUCAGAACAUGUUUCCGGCUUCAAGCAUGGAGCAUUUCAGUGCUCAUCCGCCCCCAGAUCCCAAAUAUUCGGCCAGGUUCCGCCGACGAUACACCGGAGCCAACUACCAUCAGCCGGACCCCGGUACACAAGGCCUGGAAGUUCUUACUGCGACGGGAGAAAGCGUGAUUUCAUUAGAAGGCGGUCACUACCUGACGCGUGGAGAACGGUUCGCACGGCGUAUUGGCCAAUAUUACGCGCGAGGAGAUUUCGGGCAGAGGAAAACGUUGGCCACGUCCACGCAGACGUGGAAAUUACCACCUGUUCCAGCUGCAAAGAUUCCGCAAGCAGUGUCAUUCUAUGUCAACGUUGCUGGACUCCACGUCGCUGUUAAGAAGUACUUGUACAUUCCUGCAGAUCUUGUGCGACGGUUUCCAUCUAUUGGGAGCUCCCAGGAAAUCGUAGGACGCGGGGUUGAGAAACGUAUUUAUCUGAGUCAUUACCAGAUAAUUCGUCUGUUGAAAGCUAUUUCAAAGGGUGAACCUACCGACGACCAUCGCUUUGCCUGCGGCGUUUACUCCCAAUGGAUGUAUUCCAAGUGGAACGCAGACCAGGCUGUUGUGUUUAUUGAGCUUAUUUUCGACGCGGGAGCUCCCGAUGCGCUCAUCUUAGACUUGUGUCGACCUUGCGGCGUAGCGUUGAACGGGAUUCCUGACGUACGCACAAUGCAGCAGUGGAUGAAUGCUUUUCUCACAGCAGCAUUCUAUAGAGGUCGUCUUGAACUGGCAAAGCAGUUAGCUAUACGCAUGGAUUUGUAUGGAAUGGCUGUAAAUAUCCAGAAAAAACUGGACGAACGUCGUGACUAUCAUUUCUGGGAUUACGACGCAGCAGCUACUUUUGUCCGACGGGAGAUGCGGGACGACAUGAAGAUGCAGUUGAAAAUGCGGGAGAAAUCAGACACACCGCUCACUAACCAUCCGUGUGCUUACGCAUCAAACCGGUGCAGGGUUACGGGCAGUGUUCCAUUUAUAAAUCGUCAUAUCAGUAUUUGCGCUCGUAAACUGCCGGAAGUCAACUGCAUCCCGUGCCGCGAUUGUGGAUUGCUGUUACCGCCCGGAGCUCCGGAUGCACUCCACAAUCUGCGGCACUCAGCGAAUUGCGAGCGGCGUACCGUUGUCUGGACCGAUGAUCUUCUGCAUACGGAUGUUUUUGAGAAGCCACCGUUCCUCCCGCUGGGCCGCUGGGGCAGCUGUAUCUGGUGCCGGCUGAUAAUGUUGACCGACUGGUUUGUCAGGUGUUCGAGCAUUUGGCUGAUUCCGGGCGUAGUUUCAUGCUUCGCUUGAGCGAAGUGCGCCGAUACUGAAAAACUGAAAAGAGGAGCUCCUGUUUUUGGUGUAAAGUUAGGGCCAUAUUUCUUGAAGUGCUGCAGACAUGCGCAAUUCUAAUCGGAUGCGUUUCGAUUGCUGCAAUAUGUGACUUGUUGUAAGAAUUGUAACCUUAGUGUCUCUCAUGUUCAGUAGUGGCUUUUAAAUUUUAACUGUGCUUCUACCUAAUUAUCGCGGCUGUUAGCUUUUGUGGAAGUUGGUGGGUAUGCCGGUUCGCGGGAAGGAUACAUGAAUUCAGUGCCAAAUACUACACGGUUAAAUCUGACCAAAUGUGGUCAUCCGGAGCCUGAUUCCUUCGUCAUGCUGCGCGAUAUUCGCGACCCUGGGAUGCCGUGGUUGGGGUUUGUUAUCGGCCAGACGCUUUCCUCAAUAUGGUACUGGGCUGCUGACCAGAUGAUGGUGCAGCGUGUGCUAUCCUCGAAAAUUAUAUCGGAUGCCCAAGGUGGCUGUAUUCUUGCUGGAAAUAUUUGAGAUUGCUGCCAUUGUUUAUUGUGGUCAUGCCCGGUAUGAUUAGCCGUGUGUUGUGGCCGGACGAAG
Paramacrobiotus metropolitanus is the source of this 2154-nucleotide RNA transcript. RefSeq lists it as uncharacterized. NCBI's taxonomy places the organism in Eukaryota, Metazoa, Tardigrada, Eutardigrada, Parachela, Macrobiotidae. The record is from RefSeq and is a predicted model, not a curated record. The transcript is spliced from 12 exons.